RNAcentral lists this small RNA (94 nucleotides) under Microcebus murinus (gray mouse lemur). RNAcentral's name for it is "Y RNA (ENSMICG00000024813.3)". Lineage: Eukaryota; Metazoa; Chordata; Mammalia; Primates; Cheirogaleidae. The record is from RNAcentral.
GAAAGUAAGUAGGAAAGAGUGCUCAUUGAUCAGAACCAGUUACAGAUCCCUUUGUUCCUUCUCCACUCCCACUGCUCCACUUGACCAUGCUAAA